GACGAACGCUGGCGGCGUGCUUAACACAUGCAAGUCGAGCGGUAAGGCCCUUUCGGGGGUACACGAGCGGCGAACGGGUGAGUAACACGUGGGUGACCUGCCUUUAGCUCUGGGAUAAGCCUGGGAAACCGGGUCUAAUACCGGAUAUGACUCCGCGGCGCAUGUUGUGGGGUGGAAAGCCUUGUGCGGCUGGAGAUGGGCCCGCGGCCUAUCAGCUUGUUGGUGGGGUGAUGGCCUACCAAGGCGACGACGGGUAGCCGGCCUGAGAGGGCGACCGGCCACACUGGGACUGAGACACGGCCCAGACUCCUACGGGAGGCAGCAGUGGGAAUCUUGCGCAAUGGGCGAAAGCCUGACGCAGCGACGCCGCGUGAGGGAUGACGGCCUCGGUU
This 392-nucleotide ribosomal RNA is filed under the name uncultured bacterium. RNAcentral describes it as "bacterial SSU rRNA". It matches the Rfam family "Bacterial small subunit ribosomal RNA", at positions 28 to 424 of the family's 1533-position model. The record is from RNAcentral.